Molecule: small nuclear RNA, 102 nt
Organism: Otolemur garnettii (small-eared galago)
Lineage: Eukaryota; Metazoa; Chordata; Mammalia; Primates; Galagidae
Source: Ensembl
GUGCUUACUUCAGCAGUAUAUACACUAUAAUUAGAACCAUACAGAGAUUAGCAUGGCCCCUGUGCAAGGGUAACACAAAUUCAAGAAUUGUUCCACAUUUUU